RNAcentral lists this ribosomal RNA (253 nucleotides) under uncultured bacterium. Its description in RNAcentral is "partial 16S ribosomal RNA". It matches the Rfam family "Bacterial small subunit ribosomal RNA", at positions 524 to 776 of the family's 1533-position model. The record is from RNAcentral.
GACGAAGGAUGCAAGCGUUAUCCGGAUUCAUUGGGUUUAAAGGGUGCGUAGGCGGCCCGGUAAGUCAGUGGUGAAAUCUCCUUGCUUAACAAGGAAACUGCCAUUGAUACUGCUGGGCUUGAGUACAGAUGCUGUGGGCGGAAUAUGACAUGUAGUGGUGAAAUACAUAGAAAUGUCAUAGAACACCGAUUGCGAAGGCAGCUCACAAAACUGUAACUGACGCUGAGGCACGAAAGUGCGGGGAUCAAACAGG